Molecule: long non-coding RNA, 1055 nt
Organism: Manis pentadactyla (Chinese pangolin)
Lineage: Eukaryota; Metazoa; Chordata; Mammalia; Pholidota; Manidae
Exons: 3
Source: RefSeq, a predicted model, not a curated record
AGUGUUUUCAUUGGGCUCUUUUGGUUCUGAGGAACAGCUCAAGUUACAUCUAAUAUUAAGGGAAGGAGUUAUAAGGAAUGAAGAAAACAAAGAUCUCAGCCCCAAAAAAGCCUCGUGAGAACCACGAGAGGCCAAAUCUCCAAGCCUCUGGAAGAACAGGCGCUGUAGCAGAGCCAGGCCUCAGGAAGACUGGAAGCAGGACGCAGUCGAGAGUCUGACUUUACUCCAGGACUGCAACGUCAGGAGUCUGCGCACUGUCCCCUCGGAGAUGAGUUAAUUAAUGUUGGAAAUACUUCAUUUCUGAGGAAAUCAAUGCAAAGAUUUGUACUUCUGAAAAUAGAAUGUGUCAAGUGUUAAAUCCCAAGAUGCUUGCUACUAAAUUUUUACUUUUCUAUUCAACACUGAAACAUAGAGAAGAUAAUUUCAAGGAGUUCAUGUGAUGUAUGAAACUAGCAUUACACAAAAUCUUGACUGGACACCCUUCUCUUGGUAAAAAAAUAAAUAAUAAUACAACUCUAGCAUGUGGGAAUUUUUAUUCAAACAAAGCCAUCUCAAAAUCACAGCAAUUACUAUAGUAAUUGUUCACUUUCCCCCUCAUGUCCUUGAGAUACAAUGUUUAAAAGUUUUGAAUUUAUCACAGGAUAUAAAACCCCUAGAAACAUUUGAAAUUGAAUACAGAUCUCUGGCUUUGAGAUUUCAGAUAUUUUUCUCCCUUGCUUAGUUAUCCAACUAUUUUAAAAUCUUACUCUCUUUGAUCACAGAUAGGAAUGUUGGCUUGGGCACUCAUAUUAGCUCCAAACUUAAGAUGUUGUUUUUUGAAAACUCCUAAGUAUGAAUUUCAAAGUUAACAAAGGAUCCUGAAUUCUCCACUCCAGCCCCAGUAGCAGUCCAUGCAGUCAAAGUACUACAUGUCAUCUCUUGUCCAUUUUUUUUAUGUCACAUAGACUUUAAAUUAGCCAUUUUGGAUUCUGAGCACAUUUGCUAGGAAAUAACUGUUUAAGUACAUCUUCUCCUAACACAUUUCUGAUGGGAUUCCCCUGGCAAAGGUAGAUGGG